UUCUCCUUUUUUUUUUUUAAGGGAGUGACUGAUUCUUUCGACUUGUUUUAUCACUUUUAUGCUGUGAAUAACCUGUGAUCCUAAUCACCAGUGUUAGAAAUAGGGAGAAAAGCUGUUUGUCGACUUGAAGUUUUCUCAUCUUUAGAAUAAAAGAGCUUUAGUAGUUGAUUUCUAAGGCUCCUUAUAGCUCUCACAUUCUAUGAUGAUGACUUCUCAUAGUGAUCAUCAAUCAACAUUCUAAAGGGUGAGAAAAAAAAAGAAUUGGCUAGAAACCCCAGAUUCUAGGAAAAUAAUAGAUGUGGGACACCAGGGUCCCCAGCCCCAAGAACUCCAUGCUAACCUACUGGAAGUCCUGUUUGCCCAACUUCAAAAAGGGCCUUUUAUCAGUGUUCUAAGAUCCCUGAGCUCCUGAUAAAAGAGACACAUUUAAAGUAUUCUAUUCAGUUCUGAGUACCACAUUUUUAAAAAGGAUGUGGAGAAACUAAACAGUAUCAUAUGGCCAGCAUGUCUGAUGGAGAUCAGUGGAAGGAAAAAGGAAUGUUUAGUUAAGAGGAGUCUUAGUAGAUGUGAGGAUUAGACAUGAAAUCUAUAGAUUCAAGUAGUUGAGGGGCUGUCAUCUGGAGGAAGGACAUAAUUUGUUCCGCUUGGCUACAGAAGAAAAGUGAGAGAAGAUGGAGAGAGCCUCCGUCACAGAAGGCUGACUAAUCAAGCAAAAAACCACACAGGUGCUAACUGUGUGACGUGGUUUCUGCUCUCACUGCAAACUUCUAAAGGUCGGAGACCUAAAUUUCCACAUUAGUACAAAAGCCACAUUGAAACCAAAAGUAUUUCAAUGACAAACAGAGGAACCACACAAAUAAAGUCACAAUGACGAUAGAACAGAGAA
Molecule: long non-coding RNA, 886 nt
Organism: Monodelphis domestica (gray short-tailed opossum)
Lineage: Eukaryota; Metazoa; Chordata; Mammalia; Didelphimorphia; Didelphidae
Source: RefSeq, a predicted model, not a curated record